ACCAGGUCAGGACACGGUAAGGAUUGACGGACUGAAGGCUCUUUCUCGAUUCCGUGGAAAGUGGUGCAUGGCCGUUUUUGGUUGGUGGAUCGAUCCGUCUGGUUAAUUCCGUUAACGAACGAGACCUCGGCACUCCGAAUAGCGCGGCGGACGUCGCGGCCUCCGGGCCGUCUUCCGCACGAGCUUCUUAGAGGGACCGUCCCCCGCCGGGGAAGGAGGUGCGAGGCAACGACAGGUCUGUGAUGCCCUUAGAUGUUCUGGGCCGCACGCGCAUUACACUGACGCGUCCAACGGGUGACUCCCGACCCGAAGGGGCCGGGGAAUCCGCAAGGCGCGUCGUGAUGGGGAUUGAACGUUGCAAUUGUUGUUCACGAACGAGGAAUUCCUAGUAGGCGCGGGUCAUCAACCCGCGCCGAUUACGUCCCUGCCCUUUGUACACACCGCCC
RNAcentral lists this ribosomal RNA (446 nucleotides) under uncultured eukaryote. RNAcentral's name for it is "bacterial SSU rRNA". It matches the Rfam family "Eukaryotic small subunit ribosomal RNA", at positions 1217 to 1674 of the family's 1831-position model. The record is from RNAcentral.